RNAcentral lists this ribosomal RNA (653 nucleotides) under uncultured bacterium. RNAcentral describes it as "bacterial SSU rRNA". It matches the Rfam family "Bacterial small subunit ribosomal RNA", at positions 139 to 788 of the family's 1533-position model. The record is from RNAcentral.
GGGGAUAACUACUGGAAACGGUAGCUAAUACCGCAUAACGUCGUAAGACCAAAGAGGGGGACCUUCGGGCCUCUUGCCAUCGGAUGUGCCCAGAUGGGAUUAGCUUGUUGGUGGGGUAACGGCUCACCAAGGCGACGAUCCCUAGCUGGUCUGAGAGGAUGACAGCCACACUGGAACUGAGACACGGUCCAGACUCCUACGGGAGGCAGCGGUGGGGAAUAUUGCACAAUGGGCGCAAGCCUGAUGCAGCCAUGCCGCGUGUAUGAAGAAGGCCUUCGGGUUGUAAAGUACUUUCAGCGGGGAGGAAGGGAGUAAAGUUAAUACCUUUGCUCAUUGACGUUACCCGCAGAAGAAGCACCGGCUAACUCCGUGCCAGCAGCCGCGGUAAUACGGAGGGUGCAAGCGUUAAUCGGAAUUACUGGGCGUAAAGCGCACGCAGGCGGUUUGUUAAGUCAGAUGUGAAAUCCCCGGGCUCAACCUGGGAACUGCAUCUGAUACUGGCAAGCUUGAGUCUCGUAGAGGGGGGUAGAAUUCCAGGUGUAGCGGUGAGAUGCGUAGAGAUCUGGAGGAAUACCGGUGGCGAAGGCGGCCCCCUGGACGAAGACUGACGCUCAGGUGCGAAAGCGUGGGGAGCAAACAGGAUUAGAUACCCU